CAUGCAAGUCGAACGGUAACAGGAAGCAGCUUGCUGCUUCGCUGACGAGUGGCGGACGGGUGAGUAAUGUCUGGGGAUCUGCCCGAUGGAGGGGGAUAACCACUGGAAACGGUGGCUAAUACCGCAUAACGUCGCAAGACCAAAGUGGGGGACCUUCGGGCCUCACACCAUCGGAUGAACCCAGAUGGGAUUAGCUAGUAGGUGGGGUAACGGCUCACCUAGGCGACGAUCCCUAGCUGGUCUGAGAGGAUGACCAGCCACACUGGAACUGAGACACGGUCCAGACUCCUACGGGAGGCAGCAGUGGGGAAUAUUGCACAAUGGGCGCAAGCCUGAUGCAGCCAUGCCGCGUGUAUGAAGAAGGCCUUCGGGUUGUAAAGUACUUUCAGCGGGGAGGAAGGGAUGGUGCUUAAUACGCGCCGUCAUUGACGUUACCCGCAAAAGAAGCACCGGCUAACUCCGUGCCAG
RNAcentral lists this ribosomal RNA (468 nucleotides) under uncultured bacterium. RNAcentral describes it as "bacterial SSU rRNA". It matches the Rfam family "Bacterial small subunit ribosomal RNA", at positions 54 to 511 of the family's 1533-position model. The record is from RNAcentral.